Molecule: long non-coding RNA, 348 nt
Organism: Triticum dicoccoides
Lineage: Eukaryota; Viridiplantae; Streptophyta; Magnoliopsida; Poales; Poaceae
Exons: 3
Source: RefSeq, a predicted model, not a curated record
AAAGGAACGCAGCCAAAAGAACGCCGAUAACCGUAAGAAACAGAAGACAAAACAUAAAAUUGGAUCAAAAUCUUACUCGCAAGUAAGCUUUGAGAAGAGAAACUUGGAACUCACCCACACGAACGACGGAACAUGGUCUAACACAGAGUCCUAGAAAGUUUGCAACAAAGCACGUCAAGAGGUUCAAAACAAAGAAACUGAAACUGAAGGUCCACUUUCAAGUGAGUAGAAAAACAAUAUUUUCCAGACCGCAUACAAAGAGACUCUGAAAUGCAAGUCAUCGCAGCCUUGUGGGUACGGAUACAUGGCCAAACCUUCAACUGGUUCUCAAAGGUUUCGUAUCCAGGU